Molecule: ribosomal RNA, 460 nt
Filed under: uncultured bacterium
Lineage: Bacteria
Description: partial 16S ribosomal RNA
Rfam family: Bacterial small subunit ribosomal RNA
Source: RNAcentral
CCUACGGGGGGCUGCAGUGAGGAAUAUUGGUCAAUGGACGAGAGUCUGAACCAGCCAAGUAGCGUGAAGGAUGACUGCCCUAUGGGUUGUAAACUUCUUUUAUAUGGGAAUAAAAUGUUCCACGUGUGGGAUUUUGUAUGUACCAUAUGAAUAAGGAUCGGCUAACUCCGUGCCAGCAGCCGCGGUAAUACGGAGGAUCCGAGCGUUAUCCGGAUUUAUUGGGUUUAAAGGGAGCGUAGGUGGAUUGUUAAGUCAGUUGUGAAAGUUUGCGGCUCAACCGUAGAAUUGCAGUUGAAACUGGCAGGCUUGAGUACAGUAGAGGUAGGCGGAAUUCGUGGUGUAGCGGUGAAAUGCUUAGAUAUCACGAAGAACUCCGAUUGCGAAGGCAGCUCACUGGACUGCAACUGACACUGAGGCACGAAAGUGUGGGUAUCAAACAGGAUUAGAUACCCGAGUAGUC